Non-coding RNA from Camellia sinensis, 4025 nucleotides. The record is from RefSeq and is a predicted model, not a curated record. NCBI's taxonomy places the organism in Eukaryota, Viridiplantae, Streptophyta, Magnoliopsida, Ericales, Theaceae.
CGCUCUCUUUUUUUUCAAAUGACUUAUUUUAGGACCCAAAACACUCGCUACUCUCUCACUCACUCUCUGGGUCUCUCUCUCAACCCUCUCUAAACCCUAACCUCUCUUAACCGAUCAAAUCAACCUUCUUCAGCCCUGUUUGAUCCAAUCUUAGAGCGAUUGGCGAUUUCAAUUUUGAUUUCGAAGUUCUCUCUCUCCCUCUUUCUCCCUCGAUUUCGAAGCUCCACUGCCUCCACCAUCCGCACCGGCGAGGGGAACGAGCACUAGCGUCUACUAAGAUAAGGAUCAAGAAUUGGGGGAAGCCUUAGAGAGAAGGCAGUUGAAGAGAGUUCCGAAUGGGCAGAGACCCCCCAAAUGGCAAAGGAAAAUAGAGGGAGUACCUCAACGAUCAUUUUUAGUUCAAGGGUGUGUGACAAUGUCUAGCUUGAAGUUGGGAACUUGAUACGCACUCACUCUCCAUGGUAUGAACGAUACAAUUUACUUGUAUCUUCUGCAUGACUUUACUCAUCGUGGUGUAAUACAAAACAAAUAAUGGUAGGGUUAGAUAUCACCAUCAAGGUGUGCUUAGUGGUAUCUUAUGGUGCUUGUGGUACUAUUCCAUUACUGAUUGUCAACGCAGAGAAUGAAAUAGUGCUGCAACAAAUAAUGGAAGGUGAGUGGUUUGUUGUUAGAUUAUGGAUUGGUUGUGCUGCAACACUAUUCUCCGUUUCUAAUUUUUCUUCUUACUCCAGAGAUCAAGAGACUUCCUUGUGUACAUGGGUCUCAACGCAGAAAAUGAAAUAGUGCACACAUCCUUGCAUUUUUGGCCGGUGUUAUGUUUUGGUCAUAGGUGCACAUAUCAACCUUCUUUUUGAUUUGAAGAUAAUGAAUGUUUGGUUUACUUGUUGUGAUGUGCCAUAUUCUGUUUUAAAAGUGAAUUUCUUCAAAUUAUGUCUUUAGAAUCAUGUUAACUGUAUUUAAGCAGCCAAGGAGCUUCAGUUAGACCUUAGAUGUGUAUAAGCUUGUUGUGAUGCAUACAAAGUUUCCUUUUUUAAUUAGGCAAUAACAUGUUGAUGGAGAUUGUAUGUGGGUUGUAGCCAAUUGAAAGGCUGGGUAUACCCACUGCUGGAUUUGCUUAACAAGAUGGUACUUGUUUCAGAUAUUAAUGCAUUAAUUCGUAACAUUUCUUUCUUUUUUCUUCUCUCUCUCUCUCUCUCUCUCUCUCUCUCUCUCUCUCUUUUAUUUUUUUUAUUUUUUAUUUUUUUAAAUUGUCAUAAUGAAAUAUGUCGUCAAAGAUUCUGUGGAGGUUCUUAGGUGGCAGUGUGUGAGAUAACAGGUUCCUUGCCAAAAUAUUCACUGGUUGGGUAUGAAGUAAUUAGGUCAUGGGUUAGUAAGGAUGAGGAUCAAGGGAAUAUUUGUUGGGUUGGAUUGGGUUGACACUUGAAUAUAAAUUGGUUGAUUUGGGUUGAGGAUGCACAUAUUUGUGCCAAUGUCCUGCCCACAAACUGUUCUAACUUGUUUUUUGUUGGGUUGGGUUUGGGUUUGGGUUUGGGUUUAUACUUGAAUAUGAAUUGGUUGAUUGCUUAUAUUUGGAUCAGUGUCUUGCCCACAAACUGCUUAAACUUAUUAUAGGUCGAGGCUAGCUAAUUUUCUUGGUUUGGUUGCACCUGAUGGAAUGGAUACAUCAUAUUUGGCAUGAUUUUUUUUUAAAAAAUUAAUGUGCAUCCUCAUAAGUGGAUGCAUUGAAGUAACAAUAUUCCUAUUGCAUUCAAACUAGUUGAUAUUCAUUAUUUUUGGAAUCUUUGCAGAUUACUAACUUGCCAUUUUCUCUAUACUCAACAUUUGUCAUUGAGGCCCGCCAUGGUUUCAACAAAGUUUGUACUCUCUCAUUACUGAUUGUCAUGUUCAUACAUUGUUAUUUCCUACCUUAAAAAUUUAGUUGUUACACUCUUGCUCUUGUUUUGCUGAAGUAACAGCAAACAAUAAUGGCCCUUUUGCUUUGCUUAACUUCAUCAACCACAUUCAGUAACCUUUUCUUCAAUAUUGGGAUAGUUAGGUUGUUCAGUUGGUGGCUUAUGUGGGUGGUACACCUUGCAAGAGAUAUCAUUAUAAAUGAAACUAUCAUCAUUAACAAUUAGGGUCUAUUCCUAUGUAAUGCAAUGCUGUUGUUAGUGGGAAUUCUGGCUUAAUUUUUAAGUUAAAAAGAAUUUUUUUUUUCUUUUUCUUUUUUUCCCAUUCCUUUUAUUUUCUAAUGGGGCACUUGUGUCUUCUCAUAACCCUUGUCAUAUUUUUGCAAGAGUCUUAUAUUAUAAUGUGGAGGUUAUAGUCUAAAUGAGCUUUCAUUCUUAUGUUCUAGGUUUUAUUGACUUGGAAACUUCACAUCAUCCUAGUAUAAAUAUGAUCUAUUAUCUUUACAAAAGUUGCUUUAAUUGGUUUAUAUUUUAUGUAACAAGUGCUAUAAAAGAAUCGGACGAGCUUGUGACACCAUCUGCCUAAUUCUUUACCUUUGGAUACAUGGAUCAGAGUAGUUAACUUGCCUUGAUAUAUGGUUUUUAUUGUACCCUUCAUUAUAGCCUACUGUUUGCUUACAGUAUUACUAGUUUUCUGAAAGGCCCCAUUUGUUUUCAGAAGUAGAAUGGAGGGAAUUCAUAAUAGUUAGAAGAUUGUUAGUGAGGGGAUUAAGUAAAAUUGUGUUUAUUUUGGUGAUAUUUGUUAGUGUAGGAAUUGUUAAAUUAUUUUUAUAUAAAAUAAUAAAACAAAUAAAAAAAUACAAAAAAUUAAACAUUAAUGUUCAAAAAAAAAUUCUCAAUAUAUAAAAAAUUAAAAAGUUUCUAAUCCCCUAAUUAUUUUUCUAAUACCACCUCCAUCUUCUCCAUCCCAAUCCUCCUUCCAACCUCCAUCUUAAUCUCCUUCUCCAUCAUAAUCCCUUCCCCAACUCUACAAACAAACACAGCACUAAAUAAUCCCACCUCUAUCCUAAUCUCAUUUCAUCAUUUACACCCCAAAACAAACGGAGCCAAAGAUCUUAGGGCCUCAUCUUAAAAGUUGCAUGGCAUUUUCUUAUAGGAGCACCCUAAAACAUUUAUUUAUCUGCAUAGCCAAUUCAUGCUGGUUAAUGGGUUGCAUGCAAACUUGCUUGGUGGACUGGGUAGUGAUAGACGCAAUAUUUUCAUUUUGAUAGAUAUUUGGGUGAUAUUCAAGAAUCUAUAUCGAAAUAAUUGUUAGAAUGGUUUGCAAUGGCAAAGCAACAUUCUAUGGUUCUUCAUGAGUGGUUGCAGAACCAUAGGAUCUGGUGUGUUUGGCAUGUCUUUCUUUAUUUUUUGUCUGGCUUGUCUUUGGCAUGUUUGUAGACACUUCAAUGUAAAUUCUAUGAGUGUUUUUAAUGCUGCUGCUGUGUUGUUGUUAUGAUUAGUUUUAUCUGUGAGGGAAUCUGUUUUUACAGAGCUCAUAGUUUCCUGUUGUUGGAGGAGAGGGAACAUUUCUAGUUAGUAUAUGUGCUGGAAAAAUAACAUUUCCUUUCUAAUUAAUUAUGCUCAGAUGAAAUUAGUUGUAAACAUGCUGGACCUUUGCUUUUUUGACCAUACUAGAUUGAUAAAUUUGCAGGAAUGGUGAUUGACACUUUGUUAUACCUUUUCAUGCAUGUGGGGGACUCCAAAACUUGUGCAGCAAAUGCCUACCAUACAGGUAAAUCUAUGGACUUGGUUUUAACUUGGAUGAUUUUCAUGAUUUUCCCCCCUCGUAAUAAUGAUAAAGGACCAUGUAACAACUGUGGAAGGAUGGUAAGAAACAGGCAGAUGCGUACUGCUGGACCGAAAGCUGGUGGUUCUCCAUGAAAACAAUAUCGGUUACUGUGUAAUACAUUGGCAUGAAAUUUUGUUUGUUCUUUUUGAAUGGCUAUGAGACGUAUUGGCAAGUUGUAUAGGGAAGAGGAUUAAAUCAAAUAAAACUAAGUUGUGUCACAAUCAGAAUUUACUUGGCACCACAUUUUAUGUAUGUUCUCUUGAAACAAAUACAUUUGAUUUUUUUAUUUAUUUUUAUUUUUUGUA